UUUUAUUUUUGUGCUGUGUAUUUGCUGGUUCGAAUAGUUGAAUAAGCCGAGGCUAAAUUUGAAAAUAUGUGUCAAUGAUACAUCGCGCCAGAACAUAUGUAGUUCCGAUUUUUGUUUUUAAUCUAUUGACUGACAUACGUCGAAACCGUUUGAUUAUUCAUCAUUUUGACUAACUAUUUUAAAUAUUUAUUUUAUUAAUUGUAUGAUGAGCCUUGAAAAAGGAACAAGACGUUCCGAAACGUUGGCAAAAUCAUAAUUGAUUAUUUAUUUCUGUCCAAAUUCCUAUGAAAAAUUGCUUAAUUUUUAAAACAUGGACGUGAAUAGUACAGAAUUAAUUACCCCUAGUACCCCCCAUUUUUACAACCUUGGUGACGAGGAUAAUACAAAAAACGUGGGAUUACUGUCGAGAAGGAAACAUUUGCUAUUUAAAUUUCUUGAGGAUUUUGCCACGCCGGCGCUGCUUGGGAGGAUUGAAUGAUAAUCAUUUUUAAUUGAUGAAUGAAGUAAGGAAACUUGACACUUUUGUUCUAAACUUGCAGCAACUCCCAUCCAAUUACCAUUCUGAAAAAUCGAAGCUUGAAAUUGAAAUUCUAGUAAUAUAUCGAAAGUACGGACCUGCCGGCUUGGAAAGCAUUGUAUCCAGUUACUCAGGACCUGAUGCUAGGUUGUUAUCUUCGUAGCACUCCUGUGUGCUGUAAAAUUCCGACGAAAAUAUUUAUUGGUAUCUCGGCUAAGUCAUAGAACAAAAGCAUCAGAAAUGAAUUGUUACAUCGUUUAUUUUCACCAACCUUCAAUAGUG
Long non-coding RNA from Harmonia axyridis, 799 nucleotides. RefSeq lists it as uncharacterized. The record is from RefSeq and is a predicted model, not a curated record. The transcript is spliced from 3 exons. Lineage: Eukaryota; Metazoa; Arthropoda; Insecta; Coleoptera; Coccinellidae.